Long non-coding RNA from Dalotia coriaria, 964 nucleotides. RefSeq lists it as uncharacterized. Lineage: Eukaryota; Metazoa; Arthropoda; Insecta; Coleoptera; Staphylinidae. The transcript has 16 exons. The record is from RefSeq and is a predicted model, not a curated record.
GGAUUUUGCACCUGAGUCAGACAUCAUAGAAGGACCGUUCUUGCAUCAAAGUGUAGGAUUUUUCACCUGAGUCUGAGUUCGUAGAAGGACCAUUCUCGCAUCAAAUUGAAUUUUGCUCUUGAGUCUGACAUCGUAGGAGGAACAUUCUUGCAUCAGAAUGGAUUUUGCACCUGAGUCUGAGAUCGUAGAAAAACCCAUUCUGGUAUCAGAUUGGAUUUUGCACCUGAGUCUAACAUUGUAGAAGGACCAUUCUUGCAUCAGAAUGACUAAUUUUUGAUGGUUUUGGGGAUUUUGCACCUGAGUCUGAGAUCGUAGAAGGACCAUUCUGGCAUCAGAUUGGAUUUUGCACCUGAGUCUGACAUCGUAGAAGGACCAUUAUGGUAUCAGAUUGGAUUUUGCACCUGAGUCUGUCAUCGUAGAAGGACCAUUCUGGUGUCAGAUUGGAUUUUGCACCUGAGUCUGACAUCGUAGAAGGACUAUUCUUGUGUUAGAUUGGAUUUUGCACCUGAGUCUGACAUCGUAGAUGGACCAUUCUUGCAUCAGAUUGGAUUUUGCACCUGAGUCUGACAUCGUAGAAGGACCAUUCUUGCAUCAGAUUGGAUUUUGCACCUGAGUCUGACAUCGUAGAAGGACCAUUCUGGUAUCAGAUUGGAUUUUGCACCUGAGUCUGACAUCGUAGAAGGACCAUUCUUGCAUCAGAUUGGAUUUUGCACCUGAGUCUGACAUCGUAGAAGGACCAUUCUGGUAUCAGAUUGGAUUUUGCACCUGAGUCUGACAUCGUAGAAGGACCAUUCUGGUAUCAGAUUGGAUUUUGCACCUGAGUCUGACAUCGUAGAUGGACCAUUCUUGCAUCAGAUUGUUAUUAAAUUUCAUUAUCUUAAAUAACUUAUGUGAUUAUUACACAAAUUGACUCCCAAAAUGUAUGCUUGUGUGUUUUCUUUAAUAAAGAAUAUUUUUAAGUUUA